RNAcentral lists this transfer RNA (73 nucleotides) under Candidatus Nanopelagicales bacterium. Its description in RNAcentral is "tRNA-Thr". It matches the Rfam family "tRNA". From Rfam's summary of the family: Transfer RNA (tRNA) molecules are approximately 80 nucleotides in length. Their secondary structure includes four short double-helical elements and three loops (D, anti-codon, and T loops). Further hydrogen bonds mediate the characteristic L-shaped molecular structure. tRNAs have two regions of fundamental functional importance: the anti-codon, which is responsible for specific mRNA codon recognition, and the 3' end, to which the tRNAs corresponding amino acid is attached (by aminoacyl-tRNA synthetases). tRNAs cope with the degeneracy of the genetic code in two manners: having more than one tRNA (with a specific anti-codon) for a particular amino acid; and 'wobble' base-pairing, i.e. permitting non-standard base-pairing at the 3rd anti-codon position. The record is from RNAcentral. Lineage: Bacteria; Bacillati; Actinomycetota; Actinomycetes; Candidatus Nanopelagicales. RNAcentral also lists the same sequence under 1 other name.
GCCGCCUUAGCUCAGUUGGUAGAGCAAUUCACUCGUAAUGAAUAGGUCUGGAGUUCGACUCUCCAAGGCGGCU